ACUACUGUAGUCAUUUUUUUAUAUUUGAUUGUAUUUUCCAUUUGCUACAAUUUUGAAUAUUAAGUUUUCAAAAAUACCAGCUGAUGUCUAAGAUUUGGUCACUUUAGUUUAUUGAUUUAUUACAAUACUGAUAUUCAUAGUGUAUUUAAACAUUAACAGCAUAAUGGGAAAAACUGUUCUAAAAUGUUUGCAUAAUAUAUAUUUCAAUAUCACUAGACUGAGAAAACAAUUUCAGCUUACACCAAUAGGAGUGUAUUUCAAAUUUUUGGUAGGGACUGCAAGGACUCUGGCGUGGUAAUCGGCUCGGGCAUCAGAUGUCCGUUGUCAGACCAAGACCUGCUAGUGCUACAGACAGCCAUUGACCCAUCUGCUUCAUUUGGUCAUGACCUCAACAUUCAGGCUCUUCAGUUCACACAGGGAGGAACAGCCAUGUACAGAGGAUUUUCCUGAAGAACCGUGAGGAGCUUUCACCAACACCCCACAACAUCAGAGUCUCGCGCCUAGGAGCGCACAGGAACACUGCCCUGGGGGUUGAAGGACAUGAAAACAAUGAUUUUGUAUUCUCCUGUGCUGCUUGAGAUUUUUAGAACUGACAGGUUGAUGUCAGACUUGCUUCAAUUUACACAGAUUUUAGACUGUAUGAUUUCACUGCUUAAAAAGCUUCUCUAGAAGUCAGACCAUAUACAUUAUUUCUUGCAAUGUUAUCAAGCUGAACAGUUGAUCUAAAGUUGAGGCCCCACUCCUGGAAGAACCUUGGUGCCAGUACACCCUGAGCAAGGCUCACAACUUUAAAAUCCCCCAGCUGUUCUGAAGUUUAAAACAUUUAUAUGUUUAAAAUGUUACACAAAUGCAGAUGACAAUAAAUUAUACAUACUUGAAA
Molecule: long non-coding RNA, 880 nt
Organism: Astyanax mexicanus (Mexican tetra)
Lineage: Eukaryota; Metazoa; Chordata; Actinopteri; Characiformes; Acestrorhamphidae
Exons: 2
Source: RefSeq, a predicted model, not a curated record